GCGGGAAUAGCUCAGUUGGUAGAGCACGACCAUUGCCAAGGUCGGGGUCGCGAGUUCGAGUCUCGUUUCCCGCUCCA
Molecule: transfer RNA, 77 nt
Filed under: Shigella sonnei
Lineage: Bacteria; Pseudomonadati; Pseudomonadota; Gammaproteobacteria; Enterobacterales; Enterobacteriaceae
Description: tRNA-???(tgcc)
Rfam family: tRNA
About the family: Transfer RNA (tRNA) molecules are approximately 80 nucleotides in length. Their secondary structure includes four short double-helical elements and three loops (D, anti-codon, and T loops). Further hydrogen bonds mediate the characteristic L-shaped molecular structure. tRNAs have two regions of fundamental functional importance: the anti-codon, which is responsible for specific mRNA codon recognition, and the 3' end, to which the tRNAs corresponding amino acid is attached (by aminoacyl-tRNA synthetases). tRNAs cope with the degeneracy of the genetic code in two manners: having more than one tRNA (with a specific anti-codon) for a particular amino acid; and 'wobble' base-pairing, i.e. permitting non-standard base-pairing at the 3rd anti-codon position.
Source: RNAcentral